GUGACAACCGGGUCGAAACCACGGUGCACGCGCUCCGCCUAACCGAGUACGUAAAGAAACUAUGAAAGUAGUGGUAUUUCAGCGGCGAUAUAAAAUCUCCCACUUAUGCUACACCUCUGAUGUCUCCUUACAAUGCCAGACUAGAGUCAAGCUCAAAAGGGUCUUCUUUCCCCGCUAAUUUUUCCAAGCCCGUUCCCUUGGCAGUGGUUCCGCUAGAAAGUAGAUAGGGACAGAAAGGAAAUCUCGUUAAUCCAUUCAUGCGCGUCACUAAUUAGAUGACGAGGCAUUUGGC
Molecule: long non-coding RNA, 292 nt
Organism: Osmia bicornis bicornis
Lineage: Eukaryota; Metazoa; Arthropoda; Insecta; Hymenoptera; Megachilidae
Exons: 3
Source: RefSeq, a predicted model, not a curated record